RNAcentral lists this ribosomal RNA (491 nucleotides) under uncultured bacterium. RNAcentral's name for it is "partial 16S ribosomal RNA". It matches the Rfam family "Bacterial small subunit ribosomal RNA", at positions 29 to 507 of the family's 1533-position model. The record is from RNAcentral.
GUGCACGCUGGCGGUAGGCCUAACCCCUGCAAGUCGAACGGCAGCACCGUAAGAGCUUGCUCUUACGGGUGGCGAGUGGCGGACGGGUGAGGAAUACAUCGGAAUCUACUUUUUCGUGGGGGAUAACGUAGGGAAACUUACGCUAAUACCGCAUACGACCUACGGGUGAAAGCAGGGGAUCUUCGGACCUUGCGCGAUUGAAUGAGCCGAUGUCGGAUUAGCUAGUUGGCGGGGCAAAGGCCCACCAAGGCGACGAUCCGUAGCUGGUCUGAGAGGAUGAUCAGCUACACUGGAACUGAGACACGGUCCAGACUCCUACGGGAGGCAGCAGUGGGGAAUAUUGGACAAUGGGCGCAAGCCUGAUCCAGCCAUACCGCGUGGGUGAAGAAGGCCUUCGGGUUGUAAAGCCCUUUUGUUGGGAAAGAAAAGCAGCAGGUUAAUACCCCGCUGUUCUGACGGUACCCAAAGAAUAAGCACCGGCUAACUUCGUG